Molecule: ribosomal RNA, 301 nt
Filed under: uncultured bacterium
Lineage: Bacteria
Description: partial 16S ribosomal RNA
Rfam family: Bacterial small subunit ribosomal RNA
Source: RNAcentral
CAGUAGCCGCGGUAAUACGGAGGGGGCUAGCGUUGUUCGGAAUUACUGGGCGUAAAGCGCACGUAGGCGGCUUGGUAAGUUAGAGGUGAAAGCCCGGAGCUCAACUCCGGAAUUGCCUUUAAGACUGCCGAGCUAGUAGGUGAGAGAGGUAAGUGGAAUUCCGAGUGUAGAGGUGAAAUUCGUAGAUAUUCGGAAGAACACCAGUGGCGAAGGCGGCUUACUGACUCAUUCUAGACGCUGAGGUGCGAAAGCGUGGGGAGCAAACAGGAUUAGAUACCCCGGUAGUCCCUGUCUCUUAUAC